GACGAACGCUGGCGGCGUGCUUAACACAUGCAAGUCGAACGGAAAGGCCCUGCUUUUGUUGGGUGCUCGAGUGGCGAACGGGUGAGUAACACGUGAGUAACCUGCCCUUGACUUUGGGAUAACUUGAGGAAACUGGGGCUAAUACCGGAUAGGAGCUCCUGCUGCAUGGUGGGGGUUGGAAAGUUUCGGCGGUUGGGGAUGGACUCGCGGCUUAUCAGCUUGUUGGUGGGGUAGUGGCUUACCAAGGCUUUGACGGGUAGCCGGCCUGAGAGGGUGACCGGCCACAUUGGGACUGAGAUACGGCCCAGACUCCUACGGGAGGCAGCAGUGGGGAAUAUUGCACAAUGGGCGGAAGCAUGAUGCAGCAACGCCGCGUGCGGGAUGACGGCCUUCGGGUUGUAAACCGCUUUCGCCUGUGACGAAGCGUGAGUGACGGUAAUGGGUAAAGAAGCACCGGCUAACUACGUG
This 468-nucleotide ribosomal RNA is filed under the name uncultured bacterium. RNAcentral's name for it is "partial 16S ribosomal RNA". It matches the Rfam family "Bacterial small subunit ribosomal RNA", at positions 28 to 507 of the family's 1533-position model. The record is from RNAcentral.